UACGUAGGUGGCAAGCGUUGUCCGGAUUUACUGGGCGUAAAGGGCGCGUAGGCGGCCGUUUGCGUCGGAUGUGAAAGCCCGGGGCUCAACCUCGGAACGGCAUUCGAUACGGGACGGCUGGAGACCGGGAGAGGAGAGUGGAAUAGCCAGUGUAGAGGUGAAAUUCGUAGAUAUUGGCUGGAACACCGGUGGCGAAAGCGGCUCUCUGGCCCGGUUCUGACGCUGAGGCGCGAAAGCCAGGGGAGCAAACGGG
This 253-nucleotide ribosomal RNA is filed under the name uncultured bacterium. RNAcentral describes it as "partial 16S ribosomal RNA". It matches the Rfam family "Bacterial small subunit ribosomal RNA", at positions 524 to 776 of the family's 1533-position model. The record is from RNAcentral.